This 319-nucleotide long non-coding RNA is filed under the name Phoenix dactylifera (date palm). RNAcentral describes it as "long non-coding RNA (PDAC_LNC001937)". The record is from RNAcentral. Lineage: Eukaryota; Viridiplantae; Streptophyta; Magnoliopsida; Arecales; Arecaceae.
GAAAGCGAUAUGAGAUUUGGAUAUAUUAAUUAUUUGACCUAAAAAUGAAUAAUAAGCUUCAAGGAUUAGUUUCAAAUAUAUACUAUACCGUUUGGUUGCUCUGACUUUCAAUAGACAAUCAUCUGCAAAAAAGAUAUGAGAUAUGCUAGGAGUCAUCAUGUCCGGUCUAUAAGCCUCGAUUCUAUUGCAUUUCACUAUAAGUUGCAAAGCAUGAGAUAACAUUUUAAAAGGAAGAAUAAAUAAAUAAGGGGACAACCCCAUGUAUUUUGUAGCCAAGUUCGUCUUGGUUCAGCUAAAAUCUAGCACCCAACUUGUUAAA